AUUGAACGCUGGCGGCAUGCUUUACACAUGCAAGUCGAACGGCAGCACGGGUGCUUGCACCUGGUGGCGAGUGGCGAACGGGUGAGUAAUGCAUCGGAACGUGCCCAUGAGUGGGGGAUAGCCCGGCGAAAGCCGGAUUAAUACCGCAUACGCCCUUAGGGGGAAAGCGGGGGAUCUUCGGACCUCGUGCUAUUGGAGCGGCCGAUGUCGGAUUAGCUAGUAGGUGAGGUAAAGGCUCACCUAGGCGACGAUCCGUAGCUGGUCUGAGAGGAUGAUCAGCCACACUGGGACUGAGACACGGCCCAGACUCCUACGGGAGGCAGCAGUGGGGAAUUUUGGACAAUGGGCGCAAGCCUGAUCCAGCCAUGCCGCGUGAGUGAAGAAGGCCU
This 389-nucleotide ribosomal RNA is filed under the name uncultured bacterium. RNAcentral describes it as "bacterial SSU rRNA". It matches the Rfam family "Bacterial small subunit ribosomal RNA", at positions 30 to 417 of the family's 1533-position model. The record is from RNAcentral.